This 429-nucleotide ribosomal RNA is filed under the name uncultured Oxalobacteraceae bacterium. Its description in RNAcentral is "bacterial SSU rRNA". It matches the Rfam family "Bacterial small subunit ribosomal RNA", at positions 355 to 776 of the family's 1533-position model. The record is from RNAcentral. Lineage: Bacteria; Pseudomonadati; Pseudomonadota; Betaproteobacteria; Burkholderiales; Oxalobacteraceae.
UGGGGAAUUUUGGACAAUGGGCGCAAGCCUGAUCCAGCAAUGCCGCGUGAGUGAAGAAGGCCUUCGGGUUGUAAAGCUCUUUUGUCAGGGAAGAAACGGCCCAGGCUAAUAUCCUGGGCUAAUGACGGUACCUGAAGAAUAAGCACCGGCUAACUACGUGCCAGCAGCCGCGGUAAUACGUAGGGUGCAAGCGUUAAUCGGAAUUACUGGGCGUAAAGCGUGCGCAGGCGGUUUUGUAAGUCUGACGUGAAAUCCCCGGGCUCAACCUGGGAAUUGCGUUGGAGACUGCAAGGCUGGAGUCUGGCAGAGGGGGGUAGAAUUCCACGUGUAGCAGUGAAAUGCGUAGAGAUGUGGAGGAACACCGAUGGCGAAGGCAGCCCCCUGGGUCAAGACUGACGCUCAUGCACGAAAGCGUGGGGAGCAAACAGG